UUAACUAUUAAAUAGUAUUCAGACGACAUAAAAUAACAGAGUUGGGUCCUCUGGCAAGCACUCUCCAGCCGAAGCCGGUGCUCAAUCGCUAAGCAAUCUCGCGGCCUGCCAAAGCAACAAGUAAUAAUAUACAAGGGUGGAGUUUUCCAGAGAACGGUUUUACCCGACCCCAGAGAAACCUUUUAAUGAUCCUUCCGCAGGUUCACCUACGGAAA
RNAcentral lists this unclassified non-coding RNA (215 nucleotides) under uncultured fungus. Its description in RNAcentral is "sequence contains ITS1, 5.8S rRNA gene". The record is from RNAcentral. Lineage: Eukaryota; Fungi.